UCGCGAUACCUAUGCUUACAUACUUAACACUAGGCCAUCGGGACGUUAGCAUAAAAUAAAGUAUCGAGAAUCGAUAAGUAAAUCGUAAUAAAAUACGGAAACUAACGAAAGAGUUUCCGAAAAUUAAUGAGUCUCAGGUCAAUAUUGCAAUGCAGUAAAAAAGCUUCUAUUAUACGAUAGAAUGCAUGAAUUACCGAAACGCGUCGUUCCUAUUUGGAUACAAAUAUGAAACGAGUUUGUUUAAGUUAAAGUGUUUGUGCAUUUUUGUAUGAAUAUUUAACUGAUUUGUAUGAGAGGAAUCGUACCAUUGUAACAAAAUCAUUCGACAUGUUUGAAGAUUCACUAGCCAUCACAUUGAGUUCUCAUUUCUGUAAACUGCAUAAAGUUUGCAUAGCCUGCCUUUAUGCCAGUCCAUUCAUUCUUCAAACUGUUGGUUUGUUUACAACAAAUUGGAUUAUAAACGACACAUGUGACUCUGUUGGUAUAUUCUACUAUUGCUGCGGUGGACCUGAUAACGAUACUUGCAGACCUUCACAAAUAGAGGACGGUAUGCACAAACACCAUUCCAAACGAAGUUCAUCUGCUAAGACUGGACACGACAGGACGAGAUUUACAAAUUUCUUCAUUUGUAAUGAUGCUAAUUGGAUUAUUGAUGUUCUUCGUUGGAAUACCUUGUGCAUGUGGAUUGUUUAAAAUAAGCAAACCAGAAAGAGAUAGAUUGUACGAUAGAACACUGCAUGCCUGUUGCGACAUACUAUUUGGCUGUGUAAUUAUAUUUUUGGGAGCCUUGUUGAUGUUGAUUUCGGGUAUAUUAAAUAUAUGUGGGUGUAUUGUCGUUGCAACACAGUUCUCAAGUGCACAAUUAGGCUACUCCUUCUACCUUUGUGUGAUUGCAGGAUGUAUUUUUAUUCUAAUGAGCAUAAUUUCUUGCUUGGCAUUCUGUUGCGACCGAAAUGGAUACAAAAAUUUAACCGGAAAGACUCCGCAACUAUCGAAAACGACAAAUCAUCAAGAGAUAAUUCAUCAUUUGAGUUAUAACUUCGUCUGUGAUUCAAAAUAUCCAGAAAAAAAUCUCUAAGGAUGAUUAUUUUUAGUGAUAGCGUUGGAAAAGGCAUUGUCAAACAAAUUGCCGAAAGUUGUCUUAUUUUUGUUUGUAUUUGUUUUUGUUUAGUUAUUGUUGUUUUUACCAACAAUUUCCAUUGUUUAUGCAACAAUCUGAACAUAAUUCCGGUGGUGGUGGUUGUGGUAGUUUACCCUUCGGAUCAGGAUAACCUGGAAUUUUCCAGAGCACAGUUGAGCCACCGCAUCAUCCUGGAGCUCUUUGCCAAGCUGUUCACGAGUGGCCGAUUUGUGUCAUUCGUGUUUUCGCCCCGUGACCCCGCCAAGCGAAAAGUCAAGAAUUACCACGUUAAACGGAGCGAAAACACGCUAAUUAGCAAGGGCGCGAACCGAGAUCUAAGAAAUAAAACGGACAUAUUUUGAUCAUCAC
This is an RNA transcript of Ruditapes philippinarum (Manila clam), 1489 nucleotides long. RefSeq lists it as uncharacterized. NCBI's taxonomy places the organism in Eukaryota, Metazoa, Mollusca, Bivalvia, Venerida, Veneridae. The record is from RefSeq and is a predicted model, not a curated record. The transcript has 4 exons.